This 499-nucleotide ribosomal RNA is filed under the name Perinia tumida. RNAcentral's name for it is "partial large subunit ribosomal RNA". It matches the Rfam family "Archaeal large subunit ribosomal RNA", at positions 1922 to 2643 of the family's 2987-position model. Lineage: Eukaryota; Metazoa; Arthropoda; Malacostraca; Decapoda; Majidae. The record is from RNAcentral.
UGUCCACACGUUAGAUAUUUGUGGUCCGGCCUGCUCACUGAGUAAAUCUAUAUUACUUAAAGAGCCGCGGUAAUUUGACCGUGCAAAGGUAGCAUAAUCAAUAGUCUUUUUAAUUGAAAACUAGAAUGAAAGGUUAAACAAAAGAACAACUGUCUCUUUAUAAUUAAUUGAAUUUAACUUUCAAGUGAAAAGGCUUGAAUACUUUAAGGGGACGAUAAGACCCUAUAAAGCUUUAUAACAUUAGUUAUAUCUUCUAAAAACAAGACAACAUAGGAAGUGAUAAAUGUUAUUUUAUUGGGGCGAUAGCGAUAUAAGUACUGUAACUGUUGAAAAUUUAAACACUAAUGUAUGAUAAAAAAGGUCCUUGUUGGAGAUUUAAAGACAAAGUUACUUUAGGGAUAACAGCGUUAUAUCUUUUGAGAGUCCUUAUCGAAAAAGAAGAUUGCGACCUCGAUGUUGAAUUAAAUGACCUCUGUGGCGCAGCUGCUUCGGGAAGAAG